CAGCAGUGAGGAAUAUUGGUCAAUGGGCGAGAGCCUGAACCAGCCAAGUCGCGUGAAGGAUGAAGGUUCUAUGGAUUGUAAACUUCUUUUGUCCGAGGGUAAAAAAGGCUACGUGUAGCUUCUUGCAAGUAUCGGACGAAUAAGCAUCGGCUAACUCCGUGCCAGCAGCCGCGGUAAUACGGAGGAUGCGAGCGUUAUCCGGAUUUAUUGGGUUUAAAGGGUGCGUAGGUGGUUUGUUAAGUUUGUGGUGAAAGCGUGCGGCUCAACCGUACCAAGCCAUGAAAACUGGCGAACUUGAGUGCAAACGAGGUAGGCGGAAUGUGAUGUGUAGCGGUGAAAUGCUUAGAUAUGUCACAGAACCCCGAUUGCGAAGGCAGCUUACCAGCAUGCAACUGACACUGAGGCACGAAAGCGUGGGUAUCAAACAGGAUUAGA
Molecule: ribosomal RNA, 435 nt
Filed under: uncultured Porphyromonadaceae bacterium
Lineage: Bacteria; Pseudomonadati; Bacteroidota; Bacteroidia; Bacteroidales; Porphyromonadaceae
Description: bacterial SSU rRNA
Rfam family: Bacterial small subunit ribosomal RNA
Source: RNAcentral